GAAAUGCGAUAAGUAAUGUGAAUUGCAAAAUUCCGUGAAUCAUUAAAUCUUUGAACGCACCUUGCGCUCUUUGGCAAUCCAGAGAGCAUGUCUGUUUGAGAAUCAGUUUAAAUCUCAUUACCCAUUUAGUGAUAAAUGGUUUUUGUAAUGGUUGUGGGUUUUUCCAGUCCUUUUUGGAUUGGAAAUUCCUUAAAUAAAAGUUGCCUGGUUAUUAAUAAAAAGACGUAAACCGGAAAGCAUUACCAAUGAACUUGGGCAUUAAUUUGUUUAAACGUUCUUGAUUGCUGAUAAAGGAGCGGCUAUUAUUAUUUUUAUCCUAGUAAUAAUAAACUAAUACGAAAGGUUUUUUUAUCUUUUAAGACUCGAUCUCAAAUCAGACAAGACUACCCGCUGAACUUAA
This 400-nucleotide unclassified non-coding RNA is filed under the name uncultured Chytridiomycota. RNAcentral's name for it is "sequence contains ITS1". The stretch from base 1 to 105 matches the Rfam family "5.8S ribosomal RNA", at positions 50 to 154 of the family's 154-position model. Lineage: Eukaryota; Fungi; Chytridiomycota. The record is from RNAcentral.